This 536-nucleotide long non-coding RNA is filed under the name Homo sapiens (human). RNAcentral's name for it is "HSALNT0240357". Lineage: Eukaryota; Metazoa; Chordata; Mammalia; Primates; Hominidae. The record is from RNAcentral.
CCGAGUAGCCACAGCGGCAGCUCCAGCCCGGCCCGGCAGCGACAUGGAAGACAGAAUCUCUCUGUUGCCCAGGCUGGACUGCAGUGGCACUGUCUCAUCUCACUGCAGCCUCGACUUCCAGGGCUCAAGUGAUCCUCCCACCUCAGCCUCCCGAGUGACUGGGACUACAGGCUCAUGCCAACAUGCCUGGCUAAUUUUUGUAUUUUUCGUAGAGAUGGGGUUUCGCCAUGUUGCCCAGGCUGGUCUUGAACUCCUGGGCUCAAGCAACCUGCCCACCUUGGCCUCCCAAAAUGUUGGGACUACAGGCAUGAGCCACCACACCUGGCCUGAAACCCUCCUUACCUCAUUCACACUGCCUACCCUGCAUGGACACACUCUUCAUGCUGGCUGGUCUCCAGCAGCCCACCCUGGGCUACCCCUAUUCAUUGCAUGGACAUUUUUCUCAUCCAGCUUGGAUUUUGACAUCCCAUGCCAAGCUGCUCCUUUGCGUAUUUUUAAACUAUGUGUAUUUCCCCUGCCUUUAUGCUUUGUUGCUA